CAGGCCCCUCAGCCCCCACCGCCCGCAGCCCGAUCAAGGCGCCCGGCCCCUCAGCCGCUGCCCGACCCAGCCUCCGGUCCUCUCAGCGCUGCUUGCGGGGUUCCUGAGGAGGGGGACGGUCACCGACGGCAGCCCCCCGGGAAGCCCUCUCCGAGCCGGCCGGGGUGGUCCCGCCUGGGCGAGGGGAGGCGGUCCCAGCCGGCUGUGGGGCCGUGAGGGUGCAGAGGGGCAUCUGCCGUUCACCGUGCCUCUCGGUGAAACUCGAGGGGUCGCAGGGGGCAGCGGGUUGCUGUGGCGGGCCGCGAGGGUUGCCAGUGAACCCAAGGGGAACUCAUGUGUCUCCCAUCAAAUGUGUGUUUGGGGAGACUUGAGGGUCACCGGCAGCAAGGGUGAAGCCCCUUCCCCAGGGAAUGUCUCUGCCUUUCCCAUCAGUGAACCCAGGCCUCGCCUCCGGCACCCAGGCAGGCGGUUUCCAGAAAUCUCUGCCUGCCCUCCCCCCAGGGCAGCCUCCUCGGGGGAAAGGCAGCUCAAGGCCAACCAAGCUCUUCAUAUGAGUUUCGUAAGGCUGUAGGAGAAACCACAAUGUGGGCUCAGAAGCAGCGGAAUCGUUAUCUAAACCCCAAAUAGCACGGUACUAACUCCUACUUCUGUCUCGUGUUUAGGAUUGAAGUGAUGUGGAGAGCCCUGCGUGCCCCAGUGGUACGGGGGAUGUAGUCAGGAGGCAAGGAGGAGCAAAGGAGGAGAGUAUCGCCUCAUCUUCUGUUUGCAACAAGCCCAGGCCACCUGGCAUGGGAGGGGUAUGGGCAUAGCAGAGAGCAUGUGAAUCACCCUGGACGUGCAGGUAACGUUCCGGCUAAAUCAGAUAACGCUCUGUACGGUGCUGGUGCUGCGUUCACCAGUAACCUGUGAUGCACAAUAGUGGAGAAAAAGUCAUCCUUCCACAAUCAAUAACACAAUAAUGGAGUGCUGUUUAGAUGACAGUUUGAGAUUUUUUUUUUAAUGAAUGUGAUUCCAUCAAGUAUUAGGGAAUUUUUUGCCCAUUACCUUAAGUGAGAACAUAUUUUUUGUUGUGCUAUUGACCUGCCCAUAUCAUAAUUGCAGUAGUCUUUGUUAUUUAGUUAUGAAACUCUUCUCCAUCUAAUCUAAACAUAAUGUAUGCAGUUUCAGAGGUUUCUUAAACUGCGAACUCCUACUCAGCUGUUUUUCUGACUGGCAAUCAUGGCUCUACUGUGCCUUUAUAUUUGCAUCUACCUUGGGGUUUUUUCUGUCAUUUUUAGUGUCAUUGGUUAUAUUUGUCAUUGUUUAUGUUCUUAUGUCCUUUCUUUCCCAUGAUGAACUGCUGUUCUGAUCACUGUGGGCCCAACUGUAUGCAAGAUCGAGACGCUCAGCAACUCCUAGUUUCCACAGGCACUCAGCUCACUGGAAAUGAUCAGUAAUUUUCAACAGACUGCCUAAGCAGUUUGAAAAAAAUACACCAAAGAUAAUAACUAGGAAAAUAUAUUUUAAGCAAUAAAUGUAAAUGGGAAAAGAAGUUUCAUUUGAGAAGUUAAGCAGAUGCAGCUAUAACCAAUUUCUUUAAUCUGCUGAUACAUGAGUGUUAUGUUUAAUUUUCAAGUGCUGUUUAGUUGUCAAUUAGGAAUUGGAAACAAUUCAGUUGUUCGUAGCAAACCACUUUCUCUUGCUAUUUCCUAAUUUGGAAUAUUAUUCUAGAUUUUCAAGAUGUUUAUCCCCUAAUUCUUCAGGUUCAUCUUAUGUUCACGUGAGUAGUUUCAGAAGACACAUUCACUAGCUAACACCCAUCUCCUCUUGCAGUUGUACACUGCACAACAUUUAUAAUUAAGCCUCUUAGGAAGUUAGCUGCAUGGCCCAUGAUUAACUUCCCUUAAUUCUUCAUUGUUAAAGCUCAGUGCAGAGAUCUCUGGAGUAAUCACCCACCUUCCCAUCCUGAGCUGCAGAACGGCAACGUAGCAUGUAAGUCAGUAUGCACCAAGAUGUCAUCCCAGCACGGAAGAGAGAAGUUUUGUGAAGAAGAGGUGUCUGUUUGUGUUGGAAGUGCUGUAAUGAAUGGCACAUUGAGACUACUACCAGCUUAUAAUAAUGACUGGUAUUCCCUGUUCUGCAAGACUGGGAGGGAAAGAGCAUAUCCAAUGAACAGAAGUGGAUCCUUGGAUUUUGGUUCUUGAGGUGACCUUGACUCUAUGAAUCUAUGGAACAAUUAAUAGUACAGAACAGUUGAUUGCUUCUCUGUUUGUGCGGCAACAGAUUAUGGAAUAAACCAAAAGUAGCCUUCA
This is a long non-coding RNA of Aquila chrysaetos chrysaetos, 2291 nucleotides long. RefSeq lists it as uncharacterized. Lineage: Eukaryota; Metazoa; Chordata; Aves; Accipitriformes; Accipitridae. The record is from RefSeq and is a predicted model, not a curated record. The transcript is spliced from 2 exons.